RNAcentral lists this ribosomal RNA (720 nucleotides) under Actinacidiphila glaucinigra. RNAcentral's name for it is "bacterial SSU rRNA". It matches the Rfam family "Bacterial small subunit ribosomal RNA", at positions 21 to 758 of the family's 1533-position model. The record is from RNAcentral. Lineage: Bacteria; Bacillati; Actinomycetota; Actinomycetes; Kitasatosporales; Streptomycetaceae.
GGCUCAGGACGAACGCUGGCGGCGUGCUUAACACAUGCAAGUCGAACGGUGAAGCCCUUCGGGGUGGAUCAGUGGCGAACGGGUGAGUAACACGUGGGCAAUCUGCCCUGCACUCUGGGACAAGCCCUGGAAACGGGGUCUAAUACCGGAUAUUACCUUCCUCUGCAUGGGGGUUGGUGGAAAGCUCCGGCGGUGCAGGAUGAGCCCGCGGCCUAUCAGCUUGUUGGUGGGGUAAUGGCCUACCAAGGCGACGACGGGUAGCCGGCCUGAGAGGGCGACCGGCCACACUGGGACUGAGACACGGCCCAGACUCCUACGGGAGGCAGCAGUGGGGAAUAUUGCACAAUGGGCGAAAGCCUGAUGCAGCGACGCCGCGUGAGGGAUGACGGCCUUCGGGUUGUAAACCUCUUUCAGCAGGGAAGAAGCGAAAGUGACGGUACCUGCAGAAGAAGCACCGGCUAACUACGUGCCAGCAGCCGCGGUAAUACGUAGGGUGCGAGCGUUGUCCGGAAUUAUUGGGCGUAAAGAGCUCGUAGGCGGCCUGUCGCGUCGGUUGUGAAAGCCCGGGGCUUAACCCCGGGUCUGCAGUCGAUACGGGCAGGCUAGAGUUCGGUAGGGGAGAUCGGAAUUCCUGGUGUAGCGGUGAAAUGCGCAGAUAUCAGGAGGAACACCGGUGGCGAAGGCGGAUCUCUGGGCCGAUACUGACGCUGAGGAGCGAAA